This 68-nucleotide transfer RNA is filed under the name Marmota monax (woodchuck). RNAcentral describes it as "tRNA.Ala". The stretch from base 5 to 65 matches the Rfam family "tRNA", at positions 6 to 65 of the family's 71-position model. Rfam says of the family: Transfer RNA (tRNA) molecules are approximately 80 nucleotides in length. Their secondary structure includes four short double-helical elements and three loops (D, anti-codon, and T loops). Lineage: Eukaryota; Metazoa; Chordata; Mammalia; Rodentia; Sciuridae. The record is from RNAcentral.
GGACUGUAGCUCAAUGGUAGAGCUCUUGCCUAGCAUGCAUGAGGCACUGGGUUAGAUCCUCAGCACCA